RNAcentral lists this ribosomal RNA (506 nucleotides) under Allenbatrachus grunniens (grunting toadfish). RNAcentral describes it as "partial 16S large subunit ribosomal RNA". It matches the Rfam family "Bacterial large subunit ribosomal RNA", at positions 1847 to 2586 of the family's 2925-position model. The record is from RNAcentral. Lineage: Eukaryota; Metazoa; Chordata; Actinopteri; Batrachoidiformes; Batrachoididae.
UAAGAGUCCUGCCUGCCCAGUGAGCCAGUUCAACGGCUGCAGUAUCAUGACUGUACUAAGGUAGCAUAAUCAAAUGUCUUUUAAUUGAAGACCGGUAUCAAAGGCUUCACGAAGGCUCAACUGUCUCCCCCCUCCAGUCAAUGAAAUUGUCCUCUUCGUGAAAAGACGAAGAUUAAAAUAUAAGACGAAAAGACCCCGUGGAGCUUUAGGACGCCUCAGAAACUAAAACAAACCACCUGAGCUUCUUCCUUUGGUUGGGGCGACCAUGAGAAAUAAAACAACUCUCAUAAGGCAUGGUACACACACCUAAAUCAAGAGCCACACCUCUCGUUAAUACAAAAUGUAACCUCAAGACCCAAUAACAAUUGAUCAUUGAAUUAAGUUACCCCGGGGAUAACAGCGCAAUUUUCUUUAAAAGACCAUAUUGACAAGAAAGUUUACGACCUCGAUGUUGGAUCAAGACACCCCAGUGGUGCAGCAGCUACUAAUGGUUCGUUUGUUCAACG